Molecule: unclassified non-coding RNA, 219 nt
Filed under: Hevea brasiliensis (rubber tree)
Lineage: Eukaryota; Viridiplantae; Streptophyta; Magnoliopsida; Malpighiales; Euphorbiaceae
Source: RNAcentral
GUUUCCUCUCCCAGCCAUCAACUUCGCUAAGACUUAGCUCGAAAUACUCUCUAGCUAUGUCGAGGAAGAUGCUUAUUGAUGGGGAACCGAGCCAUCAGGCUGAAGCGGAGGAACACUACGACUUUGAUUUAUUCGUUAUUGGAGCAGGAAGUGGUGGUGUUCGUGCUAGUAGAUUUUCAGCUAGUCAUGGAGCGAAGGUUGGCAUCUGUGAACUUCCAU